RNAcentral lists this ribosomal RNA (2292 nucleotides) under Triticum aestivum (bread wheat). Its description in RNAcentral is "partial small subunit ribosomal RNA". Lineage: Eukaryota; Viridiplantae; Streptophyta; Magnoliopsida; Poales; Poaceae. The record is from RNAcentral.
AUGGUGAGCGCCGGUCAAGCUGGCGCGGACGGACCUUCCACCAGUGAUAUUAGGGGAACCGGAAACGGCGCCGUAGAGAAUGGCCAUGCCCUCGAGGCAAACGAGGACAAGGAAUGGAGGGGCGGCAUCAAGGAAGAGGACUGGCCCAGCACGCACAGUGCGCCGCCGGGCUUGGACGAGCAGAAGCAGCAGCAAGACCGGGUUAUCCGGUGGGAGAAGUUCCUGCCGGUGAAGACACUAAGGGUCUUGCUGGUGGAGAACGAUGACUGUACCCGACAUGUUGUCCGUGCUCUGCUCCGUAAGUGUGGCUAUGAAGUUAUCUCUGCUGAGAAUGGAUUGCAUGCAUGGCAAUAUCUUGAAGAUGUGCAAAACCGUAUUGACCUGGUAUUAACCGAGGUCGCCAUGCCUUGUCUAUCUGGCAUUGGUCUGCUCAGUAAGAUCACGAGUCACAGUAUUUGCAAGGGCAUUCCUGUGAUCAUGAUGUCUAAGAAUGACUCGAUGAGUACAGUCUUUAGGUGUCUAUCAAAGGGAGCAGUUGACUUCUUAGUGAAGCCGAUACGGAAGAAUGAACUUAAGACCCUUUGGCAGCACAUAUGGAGGCGAUGCCACAGUUCCAGUGGAAGUGAAAGUGGCAUCCAUACACAAAAAUGUUCCAAACCGAAGGCUGGUGAUGAAUAUGAGAACAACAGUCAUGAUGACGAUGACGAUUGCGGCAGUCAUGAUGACGAUGACGAUGACGAUGAUGAUGCCGAUGACGACUUUAGUGUUGGGCCCAAUGCUAGGGAUGGCAGUGAUAAUGGCAGUGGCACUCAGAGUUCAUGGACGAAGCGUGCUGUGGAGAUUGAUAGCCCACAACUUUUGUCUUCUGAUCAUCUAGCAGAAUCACCUGAUAGUACUUGUGCGCAAGUAAUUCACCCCAGAUCAGAGAUAGGCAGCAAUAGGUGGUUGCCGACUGCAAAUAAAAGGAACAUCAAUAAUCAAAAAGAAAAUAAUGAUGACUCCAUGGGGAAAUACUUAGAAAUAGGCGCUCCUAGAAAUUCAAGUCUUGGGUAUCAAUCUUCUCCAAAUGAGAUGUCUGUUAAUCCAACAGAAAAACAGCAUGAGAAUCUCACAUCCCAAAACAAGUCAGUAAACAAAAUAGUCAUCGACAAACCAACUUGUCAAACUGCUGAUUUGAUUAGUUCAAUAGCCAGAAACACAGAAUCGAAACAGGCUGCUAGAAUCACUGAUGCACCUGACUGCUCCUCCAAGAUGCCAAACGGGAAUGAAAUGAAAAACGAUUCUCCCAUCAACAUGCCAUCCCAAGAGCUGGGUCUGAAGAUAUCGGAAACAACUAGAUGUGAAACUGAAAUCCAUGAUGAACGAAGUAUUCCGAAAAGAUCAAAUCUGUCAGCAUUCACCAGGUACCAUACUCCCAUGGCUUCCGAUCAAGGUGGGGCAACAUUUCGGGGAAGCUGUUCACCUCAAGAUAACAGCUCAGAGGCUGUGAAAACGAACUCCACCUGCAAGAUGGAGUCAAAUUCAGAUGCUGCUCAAAUAAAGCAGGGCUCAAAUGGCAGUAGCAACAACAAUGACAUGGGCUCCAGUACAAAGAGUGCCAUCGCAAAGCCUUGUACAGACAGGGAGAGAGUUAUGUUACCAUCACUUGUUAAAUCGAACCAGCAGACUUCAGCAUUCCAUCCGGUGCAGCACCAAGUGUCACCAGCUCAUGUGGCACGCAAGGACAAAGCUGCUGAAGAAAUUGCCAAUGCAGUGAAAGUGGGCCACUCAAGCGAGGCACAGCAAAGCUCUGUGCAGCAUCACCAUCAUGCACACUAUUACCGCCAUGUUAUGGCACAGCAACAGACAUUAAUUGACGGUGCAUCAAACGCUCGGUGUGGCUCAUCCAAUGCUUCCGAUUCACCCAUGGAAGGUCAUGCUGCUAACUAUGGUGUGAAUGUGAGCGUCUCAGGCAGCAAUAAUGGAAGCAAUACGCAGAAUGGAAGUAGCUCCGCUCCCAAUAUUGCAAGGCCAAACAUGGAGAGUGGUACCAUGGACAAAAUUGAGGCUGACGGUGGCAAUGGCAGCGGGAGCAGGCCGAGCGGUAGUGGCAAUGACAUGGUUUGUCAGAAUCAGCUCAGCCAACGAGAAGCUGCAGUGAACAAAUUCAGGCAGAAGCGGAAAGAGAGGAACUUCGGGAAAAAGGUGCGGUACCAAAGCAGGAAGAGACUGGCCGAGCAGCGGCCACGUGUCCGUGGGCAAUUCGUUCGACAGUCUGGACAAGAUGAGGCAGGCCAAGCAGAAGACGGAUGA